Molecule: non-coding RNA, 177 nt
Filed under: Nitrospirota bacterium
Lineage: Bacteria; Pseudomonadati; Nitrospirota
Description: Nitrospirae bacterium (biofilm metagenome) 6S RNA
Rfam family: 6S / SsrS RNA
About the family: E. coli 6S RNA was the first non coding RNA to be sequenced, but its function was unknown until recently. It consists of 184 nucleotides that fold into an extended hairpin structure with a large single-stranded internal bulge.
Source: RNAcentral
AGUCCCCUGCCUUGUGCGUGAUUGAUAUAACUUGUGCCUCGUAAAUAAUUUAAUUGGGAGCUAUCCCCGGGAAAGGGUGAGCACGCCCAGGCACGACUGGGUAGCCUAACUUUUCCUAUGGCGCCCACCUGGCAAUGACCAGGUCCAAGUUAUCAGCACGGCAAGAGUGGGGGACUU